This 497-nucleotide ribosomal RNA is filed under the name uncultured bacterium. Its description in RNAcentral is "partial 16S ribosomal RNA". It matches the Rfam family "Bacterial small subunit ribosomal RNA", at positions 28 to 507 of the family's 1533-position model. The record is from RNAcentral.
GAUGAACGCUGGCGGCGUGCCUAAUACAUGCAAGUCGAGCGAACGGACGAGAAGCUUGCUUCUCUGAUGUUAGCGGCGGACGGGUGAGUAACACGUGGAUAACCUACCUAUAAGACUGGGAUAACUUCGGGAAACCGGAUCUAAUACCGGAUGAUAUUUUGAACCGCAUGGUUCAAAAGUGAAAGACGGUCUUGCUGUCACUUAUAGAUGGAUCCGCGCUGCAUUAGCUAGUUGGUAAGGUAACGGCUUACCAAGGCAACGAUGCAUAGCCGACCUGAGAGGGUGAUCGGCCACACUGGAACUGAGACACGGUCCAGACUCCUACGGGAGGCAGCAGUAGGGAAUCUUCCGCAAAGGGCGAAAGCCUGACGGAGCAACGCCGCGUGUGUGAUGAAGGUCUUCGGAUCGUAAAACUCUGUUAUUAGGGAAGAACAUAUGUGUAAGUAACUGUGCACAUCUUGACGGUACCUAAUCAGAAAGCCACGGCUAACUACGUG